RNAcentral lists this ribosomal RNA (1139 nucleotides) under Enterococcus faecium. RNAcentral describes it as "bacterial SSU rRNA". It matches the Rfam family "Bacterial small subunit ribosomal RNA", at positions 1 to 1110 of the family's 1533-position model. The record is from RNAcentral. Lineage: Bacteria; Bacillati; Bacillota; Bacilli; Lactobacillales; Enterococcaceae.
UUUUAUGAGAGUUUGAUCCUGGCUCAGGACGAACGCUGGCGGCGUGCCUAAUACAUGCAAGUCGAACGCUUCUUUUUCCACCGGAGCUUGCUCCACCGGAAAAAGAGGAGUGGCGAACGGGUGAGUAACACGUGGGUAACCUGCCCAUCAGAAGGGGAUAACACUUGGAAACAGGUGCUAAUACCGUAUAACAAUCAAAACCGCAUGGUUUUGAUUUGAAAGGCGCUUUCGGGUGUCGCUGAUGGAUGGACCCGCGGUGCAUUAGCUAGUUGGUGAGGUAACGGCUCACCAAGGCCACGAUGCAUAGCCGACCUGAGAGGGUGAUCGGCCACAUUGGGACUGAGACACGGCCCAAACUCCUACGGGAGGCAGCAGUAGGGAAUCUUCGGCAAUGGACGAAAGUCUGACCGAGCAACGCCGCGUGAGUGAAGAAGGUUUUCGGAUCGUAAAACUCUGUUGUUAGAGAAGAACAAGGAUGAGAGUAACUGUUCAUCCCUUGACGGUAUCUAACCAGAAAGCCACGGCUAACUACGUGCCAGCAGCCGCGGUAAUACGUAGGUGGCAAGCGUUGUCCGGAUUUAUUGGGCGUAAAGCGAGCGCAGGCGGUUUCUUAAGUCUGAUGUGAAAGCCCCCGGCUCAACCGGGGAGGGUCAUUGGAAACUGGGAGACUUGAGUGCAGAAGAGGAGAGUGGAAUUCCAUGUGUAGCGGUGAAAUGCGUAGAUAUAUGGAGGAACACCAGUGGCGAAGGCGGCUCUCUGGUCUGUAACUGACGCUGAGGCUCGAAAGCGUGGGGAGCAAACAGGAUUAGAUACCCUGGUAGUCCACGCCGUAAACGAUGAGUGCUAAGUGUUGGAGGGUUUCCGCCCUUCAGUGCUGCAGCUAACGCAUUAAGCACUCCGCCUGGGGAGUACGACCGCAAGGUUGAAACUCAAAGGAAUUGACGGGGGCCCGCACAAGCGGUGGAGCAUGUGGUUUAAUUCGAAGCAACGCGAAGAACCUUACCAGGUCUUGACAUCCUUUGACCACUCUAGAGAUAGAGCUUCCCCUUCGGGGGCAAAGUGACAGGUGGUGCAUGGUUGUCGUCAGCUCGUGUCGUGAGAUGUUGGGUUAAGUCCCGCAACGAGCGCAACCCUUAUUG